UCUCCCUCUGCGCCGGGCACGGCGGGCGCUACCCCAUGGGCGAGGUGGCGAGGGCAGAAAAUCCUUGGGGCGGCGGCGAGCGGGGGCGAGGACCCAGCUGCAGCCUCUGGGGCGUCUCCGGAAAGUUUAGCGCCUGAGGGAGUGAACUCUGGAGCUGACCUUCCUGGUCUCUAAGCCAUGUGUCCCCGGUGGGAUUUGGCUGUUCACAGUUCUUGGUUUAGCAUCUUUUUCUGGAAACAACCAAGGGAGGCAGGCCAGACAAAGCAUGGGACAGACCUGAAUAUGGAGGAGUAGAAUGCAUCAAGAAAGAGGACGAAGAUCCAGGGAGACAAAACCUAACUAAUGAAGCUUGAAGAGGACGGGACGCUCAGGGUUGGAAGGAUGAACUUCUGGAGGAGAUGCCAUCACAAACCUCCUGGGACCAGAACAGGCCUCGCCACAAGAGCUACACCUAUGACCUUUGCCUUGUUUUUAAUGCUAAGAUCUCUCCAGGAGCGGCUCAGGCCUUAUUACCAUCACCUGCAGUGUGUGUGGAAGCAUGUUUUCCAUCUGCGCCUGUGCAAGAGGAUACUCACCUCUCCCUUUUGAACAUUCAUUCCCCAUCUGAAAUAAAUGUCCCUCCUUCCCUUUCUUUGGGGACACUAUGACUCUGGAAAUGAUUCCUCAUGGUCUCCUAUU
Non-coding RNA from Equus caballus (horse), 678 nucleotides. The record is from RefSeq and is a predicted model, not a curated record. Lineage: Eukaryota; Metazoa; Chordata; Mammalia; Perissodactyla; Equidae.